UCCCCGCGGGGCCGGCGGGGUCCUACCUGGGGCGCGUUGGUGUCCGGGCCCGGCCCAGCGGGCGGCGGGGCCCCCGGGAGCCAGGAGAGGUUUAUGCGGAAUUUGGGCCUGUCUCUGAAGUUCUUUGAGCGCGUCUUUCAGAAAGUGGGCCGGCCCCGUGGGCUGCUGUGUGGCUUCGGCCGCAACAGGGCGGGAAGAGGCUCGAUCCUUCGGCCGCGCUGCAGUCGGAGCCCGGUGGCGGGUUCUCGGCCUUGACCCGCUGGGAGGUCUGUCUCAGAAAGUGCUUUGUUGUUAUUAUUAUGAACACGUACUGCUGGCGGUACAGAAUUAGGACACACCAGGGAAGGGGAGGAAUGACGGCGCGCCGUCCGUCCCGGAGGAAACACGGAAGGUGUCGGCUCCGGGUGCCCCGGGGCGCCCACCUGUGACCCCGUGGCCCGGCGGUGUGCGCCCGCGGCGGUGCCGGCUCGGUGUGCCCAGGCCGCGAGCAUCGAGCAUCGGAGCAUCGGGGACUGCCCGCUGCAAACGCGGAGCCGCGCCAGGCACCAGGACCAGCAGCCGGCCCCGGUACAGGAGAGGGCAUGGUCCGCGCAGGCCUGCGGUGCCAAGCCCGUGAGCCCCAGAAAAUGCUGGGGAGCUACCGGAUGGAAGUGCUGAGAGCGUCGGGGAGAAAUCGGAGGAGCACCAGCGUCCCUGGAAUGCCAGGCCGAUUUGCCAGUUAGAUACUUUGUAUUAGCUUCCCGAGAAGCCUCCAAGAAUAGUCAACGACUAGCAAUAAACCCAAAGCACUAACACGUUACAGCCCUGAAACCACACAGUGCAAAUGCUGUGAUUGUGUGAUGCAAUACAAACUUCCCCUAUCCCUGGCGUAUCCCAGGAACUCUCUGGGAGAAUCGGUGAAUGGAAGGAAACACGCUGAGCAGCCUUAUGGCGGGAAGAGCCACCCUGCUGUCAUGCUGCCCACAAAUGGAGGGGCCCACUUUCAAGAUGCCUGGAUCCCAGUCUCUGAAAAUAUGGGAGCAGCCAGGUGGUACUUCCUUCACUUCCUGUGGAGGCAGACAGAGCCCUACGGUGGGAGCCAGAAGCCUGUGUUCCCACACACGCAGGGGUUCUGGAGUCCGCCUCUGAGCCUUGAACAAAUCGCUUUUUGCCUGUGAAUCUUAGUUCACCUAUCAUUAACAUUUUGGAUUUGGAUUUGGGUUAGAUCUAUGAUUGCUGCACCGAAGCGCCUAGGGCAGGCAGGGCCCUGGGCUCCUCUGAUUCUGAUUCUGUGAUUUUUUGAUUAAAUGUAAGGGACAGAUAUGAAAAAGAUUUUGUUGACACUUGCCCUACUGGGAAAAUCGUAAGUGGGUUUCAAACAUAUUCGGUUGUAGGUACGAUUUGGUUAAUAGAUUCCUAUCAACUAAAUUGAUAGGUAUCUAUCGAUUCAAACAGGACAGCAAUGAAACACAUGCUAUUUCUGAACAAAAAGGCAGAACCACAUUCCUAGUUGAGUGUUUUUCUGCCACCAUACACCAUUCCCAAUUUCUCCUACCCCACUGGAGUAAGUAUAUGGAAAUGCCAUCAGUGGCUACAGGUAAAAUGCUGCUGCUGCCAUCAUUACCACCAGGAAAGCUGUUGGUGGCCCAAGACCCUGAUUUCCAGCUCAACCAAAGCCAGAAUUGGGAAGUGGGCAACAGCACAUCUCGUGCCCAGUGGAGGUGCAAAGGCGCAAGGAAACAGAGGAGUACAUGCACUGCAUGGUCCAGCCCCUGGCAGGAUCUGCCCCUCGGAGGUCCUCGUGGAAGACCAGUGGGAGAGACAACUUCUGCUUCUGGCUCUUCCAGUGUAGCCAUUGCUAGUGGUUGCUGCAAGUUGCUAGUGGUUGCAUUAGCCAUUCACUAGCAAAGGCCCAGAAUGUGUUCAUCCUGAUGUCUCCAACUCCAAUCCAUUGCUACAUGGAUCCUUCUAGCCUCUUCCCUUGCUACUUUCAGUGAGAAACCUGGCUCCUGCCCACUACCCACUGUCCAUUUACUUCAUUGUCUGAUUACAGAACUCAUGUACAGCAGUGUCACCUAAGAGAUCUUUGACCAAUGCACCACUGGGGAUGGCCAUCUGUGCAGUCUUCCAUCCCUUCCCCUCUAUGCACACACACACAUACAUGUACUCCUGUCUUCUCCUCUGCCCUGUCCCCCACUCCCAGGCCCUCCAUCUGGCCCUAACCCUGGAAUUCCUGUUUAUUUCUAUACAGCGCAUUUUGUUUCCCCUUGUUUAGUUCAUACCCUGGUGGCCUCCCCUUCCUAUGUUCCAAAGCAAAUACAGUUCCCUUUCUACAAAAUACCCUGGUGUCCUCCUUAAAGUACCUUCCCAAGCCCAAUUAGGCUCGGAGUCUGGUCUUUAGUCCAUAGAUGCUGGGUGUGACCGGCCCUCCCUGGGCAGUGGCAUCCAUUGUCAGGCAGGUCUCCUGACCACAGAGGCCAGAGUGGAAAAGGGGUCAUGGGAGGGGCACCGGGUAUGGUAGGCACAACAGCCCAGGUGGACAGGAGGAGGAACACGCCAGGAGUUGUGGGGGAAAUGGCACAGAGAUAAGUUUGAGGGUUAUUUCAGAAGCAGAACAAUGGAAGGUCUAGUUGAUUGUAGCAGUCAAAGGAGAGAAAAAUUAAUCACAUAAGACUCUCAUGUUUUAUGGCGGGCUGACAGGUCUUCGUGAGGUGUUACUCAGUGAAGACUGAAAAUAUUUUCCUCCCAGGUGUUUGCAUUUUAAUGAGACUCCUGGUCUAGAAUUCAGAAUUGGCAAAGAGAUUUCAAGUGCACAUCAACUGCAGGAGCAAUGCAGUGGUUGCUCGCAGCAGGAGUUAGGAAGGUCUCCUGCUUCCAGACCCAGCAGGUGACAUGCUGUGAUGUUAGUGAUGCCUGUGUGGUUGGGGAAGACUGGGGCAAGGUUGGGAGACCCAGGGCACUUUUGGUUGUCCUAGUUCUAUCUGCAAGUUUCCUUCUAGUUCAGGGAUUUUUCGGUGAAUUGUUAAGUACUAAAAACUACCAUUGGAGGUGAUCAUUUUGAGCAAAGUCUCCAUGUCAUAUCCUGCAGGCAGCAUCCUUCCUUGUCUACUGUAAAGGCAGUCCUAUAUUCCUGGCUAAAAUAGCCAAGGAGCUGGAAGGUAGCCUGAUAAUAAUGAGUUCCUUAAAACUGACCUAGGACUUUAGUCAGAGCACUGUCUUAUAAGGCAACAGUGAACUAAUCAGUACUUCAGUGGAUUAGGUAUCAGCCACGAAACCAUGUUUUUCAGACCUUAUAAUACUUCAUUUUUUAAAGAUUGUAUUUAUUCAUGAGAGACACACAGAGAGAGAGAGAGAGAGGCAGAGACACAGGCAGAGGGAGAAGCAGGCUCCCCACGAGGAGCCCAAUGUGGGACUUGAUCCUGGGACUCCAGGAAUCACGCCCUAAACUGAAGGCAGGUGCCCAACCACUGAGCCACCCAGGCAUCCCAAGACCUUAUAAUACUUUACAUAUUAAGGGAGAAAACUUAAAAUGAGAAUUUUGUGGGCACAAAGAGUGAUGAGAAAAUUUUGUGUGUGUGUGCACGUGCACACUCACACACACACACAGGCAUGCACAUGUACAUGUGUGUAAAUAUACACCUGUAUGGGAUCUUCAGAAGCAGAGAAUGCAAAAUAUGGCAUUUUCAUAAGAAACAGAAAAAGGCCCUUCUUUCUCAAAAUACCUCACUUCUAUCCGGCAGGAAGUUCUCAUAGUAAAUAUAUAAAUUAUGAUAUUAUAAUAAAUCAUAAAAAUUAUUUAUUAAUAUUAAUCUAUGAUAUUGUACCUUUAAUUAAUGCAUAACCUGUACAACUAUAUGUGGUAUACAUGGCCAGAAGUAGAGUGAGAUGCAAUGACACAGCAAGAAGUCAGGGGAGCAGACAGUCGGAAAAUGGCUUCCUGAGGUGCCGGGGUGGCUCAGUUGUUGAAUGACUGACUCUUGAUUUUGGCUCAGGUCAUGAUCUCCGGGUGGUGGGAUUGAGUGCUGCAUUGGCCUCCAUGCUCAGCACAGAGUCUCCUUGUCCCUCUCCCUCUGCUCCUCUCUACCUCUUGUGCACGCACAUUCUGUCUCAAGUAAAUAAAUAAAUAAAAUCUUUUUUUUUUUAAAGGAAAAAAAUGACUUCCCUGUUAGCAUAUGAAGCCAUGGAAUUAUAACAAUGAGAUCUACUCUUAUUGGGUUUUCUGGUGCACAACUAGUUAUCAUUUAGUAAAGCACUUCAAGCAGGCAAGCAUCUGGCACAUGCAGAACCGUGCAUGAAAUAGCCCACGUCUUGACAUCCUCCACUUGUACUUCGCUGUCUGGACCCACAGUCAAUGCCAGCAGUACAGGAAGUUGGGAUGGGACCGAAUUAAGCUAAGUAGGGGACGAGGUAAUUAGCCACGGCAGCACCCUGUGAUUGUAAAGUAGUCAAACUCAUAGCAGAGAUGUGAAGAUAAUUCUACAGACAUUUCAAAGAUCAUUGUGAAGGACAAUGGAUGUUUAGACGCACGUUAAAAGAGCAGUUACUUUAUUCGUACUUUAUAUGCAGCUUUCUGAUUGCUUUUAUUUUAUUUUAUUUAUUUAUAUUUUUUUUAUUUUUUCUUUUUUUUUUUAAA
Canis lupus familiaris (dog) is the source of this 4612-nucleotide long non-coding RNA. RefSeq lists it as uncharacterized. The record is from RefSeq and is a predicted model, not a curated record. NCBI's taxonomy places the organism in Eukaryota, Metazoa, Chordata, Mammalia, Carnivora, Canidae. The transcript has 3 exons.